GACGAACGCUGGCGGCGUGCUUAACACAUGCAAGUCGAACGGAAAGGCCCUGCUUUUGUGGGGUGCUCGAGUGGCGAAAGGGUGAGUAACAAGUGAGUAACCUGCCCUUGACUUUGGGAUAACUUCAGGAAACUGGGGCUAAUACCGGAUAGGAGCUCCUGCUGCAUGGUGGGGGUUGGAAAGUUUCGGCGGUUGGGGAUGGACUCGCGGCUUAUCAGCUUGUUGGUGGGGUAGUGGCUUACCAAGGCUUUGACGGGUAGCCGGCCUGAGAGGGUGACCGGCCACAUUGGGACUGAGAUACGGCACAGACUCCUACGGGAGGCAGCAGUGGGGAAUAGUGCACAAUGGGCGGAAGCCUGAUGCAGCAACGCCGCGUGCGGGAUGACGGCCUUCGGGUUGUAAACCGCUUUCGCCUGUGACGAAGCGUGAGUGACGGUAAUGGGUAAAGAAGCACCGGCUAACUACGUG
Molecule: ribosomal RNA, 468 nt
Filed under: uncultured bacterium
Lineage: Bacteria
Description: partial 16S ribosomal RNA
Rfam family: Bacterial small subunit ribosomal RNA
Source: RNAcentral